Non-coding RNA from Meleagris gallopavo (turkey), 2374 nucleotides. The record is from RefSeq and is a predicted model, not a curated record. Lineage: Eukaryota; Metazoa; Chordata; Aves; Galliformes; Phasianidae.
GCUGUUGACUCCCGUGAGGGCAGAGUAGCCUUGCAGAGAGAUCUUGAGACAUUAAAGGACUGAGCAAUCACCAACCACAUGAAGUUCAGCAAGAGCAAGUGCCAGAUUCUGCAUCUGGAAUGGGGCAGUCCUGGCGAUAUAUAUAGAGACUGGGGGAUGAGAGGCUGGAGAGCAACCACACAGAAAGCGACCUGUGGUUUUGGUGGAUGGCAAAGUUGAAUGUGAGCCAGCAGCAUGUCCUGGCAGCCCAAAGAGCCAGCCAUACCCUGGAAAGGGUCAGGGUAGUGAUCAAGUUGUCAGAAGCAUGCUUUCUCCCUUACAAGAAUUAAUGUCCCUCCAUAUCAGAUAGACAUCAGUGAUGCAAAUGGGGAAAGACCUGUCUUAACCAGAUACCCCUGAUAUCUCUGGCUCCAUAUCCAAAGUUGAGAGGGAUUGAAGUUCUCAGAUAUCCUAGUAACUCUUAACAAUGGGAAGCAGACAUACCAAACAUUCUAGCCAAGACCACAAGCCAAACUAAUUUAUGCCUCUAUUGGAGAUCAUGUGGAGAUCAUGUGGAUAAGUUUGCUAUCCAGAGUGAAAGAGUGAUUACUGUUUAAGAGAUAUCAGUGCCUAUCUCUCUUCUUCGACUUCUGCUUUAUCAGCAACUAACAACAGCUAUGUUUGGCUGCCUCAUCACCUGGACUUCAAGAUGUGAAUUUCUUUCUAUGACAUUCUGGGGGUGUAUGUUACCUUUAUAAUAAGAGCCAGUUAUGUUUCUGUCAGAAAUCCGUGAAUUUUUAUUGUGAAGUCUAUAAUUUUUGUGCAGUGAGAUUUUUUCAGAGCUCCAAACAGUACUGCAAAGAUCUCAUUGAUGUGGCUGGUAAAGGGCAAAUUGCUGGCAUGUUCACCUCUGAGAGGAAUUUAAGGACACCUAAAACUAUCACUCUUUCUGCCUCCAGGUGUUUGUACUUAGAGUUCUGAGAAAAAGGCCUUGCUUCGAGGUGGCCAGAGCCUGAUGAAGACUUUGCUGUGACACCUUGAAUGUACCUGUUGAGUCUGUGAGAGCAAGCAUUAUUCUCCAAGCAGAGAAAGGCAGCUUUUGAGUGGCAAAGAACAUAUUGGUUUACUAAGAAAAAAAAAAAUGAAAUAAUUAGUCUUCACAAAAAUUAAAAGAGCAGAGAGGCAGCUGCUCAGCUAUGUUGAAGCAGAACAACUUCAGCUGGUCACAGCUGCUCUUUGAGGGUGUGUAAAAUUUAACAUAGCUUUCUAAGUUUCACCAGCCAUUCACUAUCACAGACUGUGGUACUUGAAUAUGGGUCUACAGGAAUUCAACCACAUACUGCUGUCCUACAUAUUAGAGUCACAGCUUGCUCUUACAACUUGAGAGCCAGCUGAAGAGAGGACAUCAGUGUCUAUGAAAAACAGAUACCAGGGAAAAAAAGUCUCAUGAUGUGUACUCAAGAUGUUCAUACUAGAAGGAUAUAGCACCAGCUGAGGUAACAGUGAAGCUAAAAGAAAAUAAAUAGUGGAGACCAAAAACUUAUGCCUGCCUCUGAAAGCCUUGAAUGACAUCUGCUAAAUGGCAGUGCUACUCAAUUUGCAAACAAAUAGCUAAAAAGGGCAUGGACAUGUAGAAUGAAUGGAUAACCUUUUUUCUGUGCUUUAUAGAGGUGAAGUGUGGGACGGUGGAAGGAAUGACAUUGGUAAAGGAACUAACUUUGAAGUGAUACAGAAAAAUGAACAAGGGAGGAAAAUAAAGGGAAUGGGAAGAAAUGGAGCAAGAAGAACAUUAUUUUGUGUAAAUUAAAUUUAAAUAAAAAAGGAUGACACUGGCUCAGAUCUUGUCAUACUAAGGUAUUUUAAGGCCAACAGUAAUAAGAGAAUUAUAUAUAAUGUGAAUGCCCCAGGAGUGCCAAGCACACCUUUUCUCUUUUCUAAUAAUGAAGCUGCUGAAGCACAUUUGUCAUGAAGAUGAAUAAACACUCUCUAUACUGACCAAAGAGGUAGUCUGGGUCACUUCGUAUCUUUAGAGCUCAUUUGCAUCAAGGUGAAGAGUAGUGAAGUCUAGUGGGGAAAAAAGAAGGAAGAAAAUGGGAUGGUGACUUCAUCACCUCCCUGAACAGCCUGUUUCAAUGCCUGGCCACUAUUUCAGAGAAUACUUUUUUUUUUUCUAAUAAUCAACUGAAACCUAUCUGGUGUAACUGGAAGUUGUUCUCUCUCAUCCUAUCACCAUUACAUGAGAGGAGAGGCUGAUGUCCACCUUGCCACAAUGUCCUUUCAGUUGUACAGGUCUCCUCUCAGGUCUCAGCUUUCCUCACAAGACUUGGCAGGCAACGUUGAUGGUAGGUGGACAGUUGGACUAGACAAUCUUAGAGGUCUUUUCCAACCUUAAUGA